CUACGUGCCAGCAGCCGCGGUAAUACGGGGGGUGCGAGCGUUAAUCGGAAUAACUGGGCGUAAAGGGCACGCAGGCGGUGACUUAAGUGAGAUGUGAAAGCCCCGGGCUUAACCUGGGAAUUGCAUUUCAUACUGGGUCGCUAGAGUACUUUAGGGAGGGGUAGAAUUCCACGUGUAGCGGUGAAAUGCGUAGAGAUGUGGAGGAAUACCGAAGGCGAAGGCAGCCCCUUGGGAAUGUACUGACGCUCAUGUGCGAAAGCGUGGGGAGCAAACAGGAUUAGAUACCCUGGUAGUCCACGCUGUAAACGAUGUCGAUUUGGGGAUUGGGCUUUAAGCUUGGUGCCCGUAGCUAACGUGAUAAAUCGACCGCCUGGGGAGUACGGCCGCAAGGUUAAAACUCAAAUGAAUUGACGGGGGCCCGCACAAGCGGUGGAGCAUGUGGUUUAAUUCGAAGAUACGCGAAGAACCUUACCCGGACUUGAUAUC
RNAcentral lists this ribosomal RNA (486 nucleotides) under uncultured bacterium. Its description in RNAcentral is "bacterial SSU rRNA". It matches the Rfam family "Bacterial small subunit ribosomal RNA", at positions 501 to 988 of the family's 1533-position model. The record is from RNAcentral.